This 73-nucleotide transfer RNA is filed under the name Stegodyphus mimosarum. It matches the Rfam family "tRNA". Rfam says of the family: Transfer RNA (tRNA) molecules are approximately 80 nucleotides in length. The record is from Rfam by way of RNAcentral. Lineage: Eukaryota; Metazoa; Arthropoda; Arachnida; Araneae; Eresidae.
GCCUUCGUGGUGUAGUGGUCUGCAUGUUCGACGCGUAACCGAGAGGUCCGUGGUUCAAUUCCCGGCGAAGGCU